UCUGCAGGAUUUACGCGCACGUUGGAACCGAAGAGAGCUCUGUUGUUGCAAUGUUCAGCCCACAAGAGCUUACUGGUGAAGGAAUGGGACAAGACCCAUCUUUAUGCAAAGCCAGCGUUACAGUAAUGUUCCAGCAUCUCAUAAUCUAUCCUGGGGAAUUCAGCUGCCUCCCAGGGUGAAUACAGGUAUUCCUGAUGACAGUCUGCCUCUAUCUUACAGAGCAGCUUGUUGCUAUAUACCAUUGAAAAGCCUUCAGAGCUGAGAGGUACUACUAACCAAUAACCUGCUUGGCUCAAAGGGCCAGCACCUUCUCUCUAAAGCCCAAGAGGAGUUUGAGGAAAACUAGGUGUCUGUGUUCACUCCAGGCUGAAGUUACAGGUCUGAGCAAAUAAGGUGUAUAAAAAAUGGAAUCUGUCUUGGAGGACAUCAGAAGAUACAAGGGCUUGGUUUUGUUACCCAGGCUGGUUUCAAGGCCAUAGCUUUAAGAGAUCCUCUCACCACAGAUUUCCAAAGUGCUGGGAUUGCAGGUGUGAUUCAUGGCACCCAGACUUUGCUGCCUUUCUUACAUGAUCC
RNAcentral lists this long non-coding RNA (573 nucleotides) under Homo sapiens (human). Its description in RNAcentral is "non-protein coding SNHG1:46". Lineage: Eukaryota; Metazoa; Chordata; Mammalia; Primates; Hominidae. The record is from RNAcentral.